GGCCUUCUGUCGGAAUUGGUAGACGAGAGCGACUCAAACUCGCUUGCCGAAAGGCGUCCCGGUUCGAGUCCGGGGAAGGCCACCA
RNAcentral lists this transfer RNA (85 nucleotides) under Marinobacter sp. RNAcentral's name for it is "tRNA-Leu". Lineage: Bacteria; Pseudomonadati; Pseudomonadota; Gammaproteobacteria; Pseudomonadales; Marinobacteraceae. The record is from RNAcentral.